RNAcentral lists this small RNA (616 nucleotides) under Pongo abelii (Sumatran orangutan). Its description in RNAcentral is "processed transcript". Lineage: Eukaryota; Metazoa; Chordata; Mammalia; Primates; Hominidae. The record is from RNAcentral.
GCUUUCCGCGUUCUCCCCUCUCCACUGGCAGUGCUAGCUCGCCGAGGCCGCCUCCGGGGUCACAAUUCCGGGGUCGCCCCCAGCACCUCUCCGCCGGGUGCAUCAACCUGAAAAAGCCCCUUCUUCCUGAAAACCCUCCUUCUCCAGCGUUUCAACGGGGAAACUGAUCAGCUGACACCAGCCCCAGUCCUGCGAGGGGCCGGCGACCUUUGACCUUUCUCCAAAGGUGUUGGUCACCUGGAUUAUAAAAGACUUCGGAGAUAGCCAUCCAGUGACCACCUGGCUUCAUGUGUGGAUUUGCACGGCUCUUGCCCAGAGGCGGGUACACUGUGUUCCAGUGUGCCACAGAACUCACGCAGUGGCACUUUGUGGCUUCAUGAAGGAAGAGGCAGGCCACGCAACACUUCCUCCCCAAGCCAAGGAGAAGUAUCACUUUUAGAGGCAGAGGAGCGGAAGGCAGUGGGGUGACCAAAAGUGCCAUUUAUUAAAGAUUGUUGGAGCAGAACUACUGAGAAAAAGCAGGCAUUGUAUCUUCAGUUGUCAUCGAGUUUGCAAUCAGAUUGGAAAAGCUCAACUUGAAGCUUUGCCUGCAGUGAAGCAGAGAGAUAGAUAUUAU